This 1485-nucleotide ribosomal RNA is filed under the name Escherichia coli. RNAcentral's name for it is "bacterial SSU rRNA". It matches the Rfam family "Bacterial small subunit ribosomal RNA". The record is from RNAcentral. Lineage: Bacteria; Pseudomonadati; Pseudomonadota; Gammaproteobacteria; Enterobacterales; Enterobacteriaceae.
GCAAGUCGAACGGUAACAGGAAACAGCUUGCUGUUUCGCUGACGAGUGGCGGACGGGUGAGUAAUGUCUGGGAAACUGCCUGAUGGAGGGGGAUAACUACUGGAAACGGUAGCUAAUACCGCAUAACGUCGCAAGACCAAAGAGGGGGACCUUCGGGCCUCUUGCCAUCGGAUGUGCCCAGAUGGGAUUAGCUUGUUGGUGGGGUAACGGCUCACCAAGGCGACGAUCCCUAGCUGGUCUGAGAGGAUGACCAGCCACACUGGAACUGAGACACGGUCCAGACUCCUACGGGAGGCAGCAGUGGGGAAUAUUGCACAAUGGGCGCAAGCCUGAUGCAGCCAUGCCGCGUGUAUGAAGAAGGCCUUCGGGUUGUAAAGUACUUUCAGCGGGGAGGAAGGGAGUAAAGUUAAUACCUUUGCUCAUUGACGUUACCCGCAGAAGAAGCACCGGCUAACUCCGUGCCAGCAGCCGCGGUAAUACGGAGGGUGCAAGCGUUAAUCGGAAUUACUGGGCGUAAAGCGCACGCAGGCGGUUUGUUAAGUCAGAUGUGAAAUCCCCGGGCUCAACCUGGGAACUGCAUCUGAUACUGGCAAGCUUGAGUCUCGUAGAGGGGGGUAGAAUUCCAGGUGUAGCGGUGAAAUGCGUAGAGAUCUGGAGGAAUACCGGUGGCGAAGGCGGCCCCCUGGACGAAGACUGACGCUCAGGUGCGAAAGCGUGGGGAGCAAACAGGAUUAGAUACCCUGGUAGUCCACGCCGUAAACGAUGUCGACUUGGAGGUUGUGCCCUUGAGGCGUGGCUUCCGGAGCUAACGCGUUAAGUCGACCGCCUGGGGAGUACGGCCGCAAGGUUAAAACUCAAAUGAAUUGACGGGGGCCCGCACAAGCGGUGGAGCAUGUGGUUUAAUUCGAUGCAACGCGAAGAACCUUACCUGGUCUUGACAUCCACGGAAGUUUUCAGAGAUGAGAAUGUGCCUUCGGGAACCGUGAGACAGGUGCUGCAUGGCUGUCGUCAGCUCGUGUUGUGAAAUGUUGGGUUAAGUCCCGCAACGAGCGCAACCCUUAUCCUUUGUUGCCAGCGGUCCGGCCGGGAACUCAAAGGAGACUGCCAGUGAUAAACUGGAGGAAGGUGGGGAUGACGUCAAGUCAUCAUGGCCCUUACGACCAGGGCUACACACGUGCUACAAUGGCGCAUACAAAGAGAAGCGACCUCGCGAGAGCAAGCGGACCUCAUAAAGUGCGUCGUAGUCCGGAUUGGAGUCUGCAACUCGACUCCAUGAAGUCGGAAUCGCUAGUAAUCGUGGAUCAGAAUGCCACGGUGAAUACGUUCCCGGGCCUUGUACACACCGCCCGUCACACCAUGGGAGUGGGUUGCAAAAGAAGUAGGUAGCUUAACCUUCGGGAGGGCGCUUACCACUUUGUGAUUCAUGACUGGGGUGAAGUCGUAACAAGGUAACCGUAGGGGAACCUGCGGUUGGAUCACCUCCUU